Molecule: microRNA precursor, 93 nt
Filed under: Spinacia oleracea (spinach)
Lineage: Eukaryota; Viridiplantae; Streptophyta; Magnoliopsida; Caryophyllales; Amaranthaceae
Description: MIR397 microRNA precursor family
Rfam family: MIR397 microRNA precursor family
Source: Rfam by way of RNAcentral
UGUGAAAACAUCAUUGAGUGCAGCAUUGAUGAAAUUCGCCUCUUUAUUUUUUUUAGCCGGUUUUCGUCAACACUGCAUCCAAUUAUGUUUUUG